Molecule: long non-coding RNA, 268 nt
Organism: Melanaphis sacchari
Lineage: Eukaryota; Metazoa; Arthropoda; Insecta; Hemiptera; Aphididae
Exons: 3
Source: RefSeq, a predicted model, not a curated record
ACGCUCACGCCUCCGCGAAGCGAAUCGUAGCUGAUCACCUGAAAUACGAUUAGUCAAACAUUAGACUAUGAGUUAAGUCUUCAUUGUGUAAACAUUUCAACGAUCGGAAGGAGAGGGGUCAAAUCCCAUAAUUCCACCAAUCCUCACAGUACGCUACUGUCGCUGUUGGCUACUAUGCGUAAUAAUCCGGAGCUUAAAAUCGAGGAACUACUACCACAAAUACGACGACCACACUUUUAAAAUGGCUCUCGUGUAUAUAGUAUACAUG